This 449-nucleotide ribosomal RNA is filed under the name uncultured bacterium. Its description in RNAcentral is "partial 16S ribosomal RNA". It matches the Rfam family "Bacterial small subunit ribosomal RNA", at positions 354 to 796 of the family's 1533-position model. The record is from RNAcentral.
GUCGAGAAUCUUUCACAAUGGGGGCAACCCUGAUGGAGCGACGCCGCGUGGAGGAUAAGGUCUUCGGAUUGUAAACUCCUGUCAUGCGUGAACAAGGUUGCUUGGUUAAUACCUGGGCAAAUUGAUGGUAACGCAAGAGGAAGAGACGGCUAACUCUGUGCCAGCAGCCGCGGUAAUACAGAGGUCUCAAGCGUUGUUCGGAAUCACUGGGCGUAAAGGGUGCGUAGGUGGCGUGGCAAGUCAGAUGUGAAAGCCCGGGGCUCAACCUCGGAACUGCAUCCGAUACUGCCAUGCUAGAGUACUGGAGGGGUGACGAGAAUUAUCGGUGUAGCAGUGAAAUGCGUAGAUAUCGAGAGGAAUACAAAAGGCGUAGGCAGGUCACUGGACAGUUACUGACACUGAGGCACGAAGGCCAGGGGAGCGAACGGGAUUAGAAACCCGUGUAGUCC